UACGUAGGGGGCAAGCGUUGUCCGGAAUCAUUGGGUUUAAAGGGUCCGUAGGCGGUCUUAUAAGUCAGUGGUGAAAUCUCUCCGCUCAACGGGGAAACGGCCAUUGAUACUGUAAGACUUGAAUUACUGUGAAGUAACUAGAAUAUGUAGUGUAGCGGUGAAAUGCUUAGAGAUUACAUGGAAUACCAAUUGCGAAGGCAGGUUACUAACAGUAUAUUGACGCUGAUGGACGAAAGCGUGGGGAGCGAACAGG
This 253-nucleotide ribosomal RNA is filed under the name uncultured bacterium. Its description in RNAcentral is "partial 16S ribosomal RNA". It matches the Rfam family "Bacterial small subunit ribosomal RNA", at positions 524 to 776 of the family's 1533-position model. The record is from RNAcentral.